CCUGGUAUCUAAUCACCACAAUCAACACUUCAAACAAUUAAAAUCCUAGGAAACCAUAUUUAAGGAUGCUAGAAGUCAGAAGAAUAUGCAUUUUGGUAUUUUUUACUCCUUGAUUGCUAAAACAUAUACAUACAUGCACAUAUAUGUCUGUAUAUGUAUGAAUAUUUAUCUAUUAUAUUUCUACAUAAUUUAAACUCUGAAAGAUUCUAGAUUCUGUUCAUAAAGCCCUGCAUCAGAGGUUUCAUGUGUGUCAUACUC
This 258-nucleotide long non-coding RNA is filed under the name Elaeis guineensis (African oil palm). RNAcentral describes it as "long non-coding RNA (EGUI_LNC010674)". Lineage: Eukaryota; Viridiplantae; Streptophyta; Magnoliopsida; Arecales; Arecaceae. The record is from RNAcentral.